Molecule: small RNA, 100 nt
Filed under: Cricetulus griseus (Chinese hamster)
Lineage: Eukaryota; Metazoa; Chordata; Mammalia; Rodentia; Cricetidae
Description: TUC338 (ENSCGRG00001008218.1)
Source: RNAcentral
CAGGACAGGUAUAGCACAGGCAGCGACGGUGCGAGCUUUCCUCACACCACCCGGUCGAUGUCCAUGUGCCUCAACCCUGACCUGGAGGGACCACCUCUAG